Molecule: microRNA precursor, 96 nt
Filed under: Nicotiana sylvestris (wood tobacco)
Lineage: Eukaryota; Viridiplantae; Streptophyta; Magnoliopsida; Solanales; Solanaceae
Also listed under: 1 other name
Description: MIR6152 microRNA precursor family
Rfam family: MIR6152 microRNA precursor family
Source: Rfam by way of RNAcentral
UGGACAGAUUAUGGCAUUCGACUAUAUUCACGGCGUGGCAUAGGGGAUUACAUUGUUUUUAAAUGAAAAGUAAAUCAACUAACAUAAUAGACUCCU